CUCUCCCUGCUGAAGUACCACCAUGGAACUCCCCUCCCCAUGAGGUGGCCAGCAGGUGGCGGUUUGGAUUCGGAGGAAGAGUGGUUGGAAUUUUUAAAGUGCUGGCUGGGUGUCCACAGACAUUGGCACACGGGGGAAUCUGGGAGAGAAGAGAGCUGGUUCUGCCCAUGCCACCAUGUUCCGGCACCACACUGAGAAGUGCAAGAAUUCUACAGGCAACGCAGCCUCACCUUCCAGGUUAUUAAGAAGAUAUAGGUGUGAAGAAGUUCCAGUGAGUAGAACUUCACCUUGAGAUGGAAUUGUGUUCUCCCUAAAAGCAAACCCAAGAGCCACACUGGGUAAAGAGCUUUGUGGCCUGAACUGGAAUCCUGUCCAUGCUAAGUUUGGUGCUUCCAUAGGCUGAACUUAACAGGAAGUAGACAAGCAAGGCAAUCCAGAUGAUUUCAUUCUUAGUGGUCAGCCUCUGGGAGGAGAGCGAAUGGAUCUCAGUGGGAUUAGAGGAAACAGAAUUACCAAGUAAAUAAUUGCAGGCAGCACUGCAAGCAGAGGGAGCAGUAUGUACAGAGGCAGUGAGGUGUGAAAGACCAAAAAUUGUUGAGAAGCAUUUUGGAGUGCAUUGUCAUCAAAGCAGCUAAGGUUGGGUCAUUGGUAGAAGUAUUACAUAUCAAGCUCUGAGGUCUUUGGAAUUGGUUUUUGGGCAGGGAGUGGUAACAGUUCAGGGCAGAGAUGAAGAAAGAUUUGCUAAAUUAGUUGCAGAGAAAAAGGCAAGGUAUUUGGGACAUUUAUUUAAAAGAUGUGAUAAUGGCAGCUGCCAAAUGGUGGGGGUUGGGUGCCUUCCUAUUUGACAUGAGAUUACAAAUCUCAUCAACUCUGUGAGACAAGUAUUUUUCUCAUUUUCUCAAUUUUAAUUAUAAGACAUAAAAAUUGCUUGGAGUUGCCAGUGGGGCAUACCAGGAGUUCUAACCAAAGCUCUUGGAAAAUUGGAGAGAGGGGCAGAUCUGGACUUGGGAGACAUUCACCUUGUCCAUGUAAGAGUUGCAAUCAACAAUCGGGAUACUAUUUCUGUUGGUUCAGUAUUUAUAUAGGUUAUUUUUAUUGUUGGUAUAAUUGGCCUAUUCAACAUGGCAGGGCAGCUGGGAGAUCACAGAGGCUGUGGUUCAGCAUGGCAACA
Manis javanica (Malayan pangolin) is the source of this 1171-nucleotide long non-coding RNA. RefSeq lists it as uncharacterized. NCBI's taxonomy places the organism in Eukaryota, Metazoa, Chordata, Mammalia, Pholidota, Manidae. The record is from RefSeq and is a predicted model, not a curated record.